UAUAUUUUUAAAUCUAAUUAUAAAAAUUAAAAUUCUGUAUUUUUACACAUAGUCUUUUUAUAUUAUUUAGAUUGCAUGUAUUGAAUUAAAUUUUAUUUUUAUAAUAUUUAUUAUUUAAAAAUAGGUUGUACAGCAAAAGAUAAGGAAGAGAUUGAUGGAAAAUGAGUGAGAGAGAGGAGGAGAGAAUAAUUGAGUUAAAAACUAAGAAAACUUCAAAUACCCCCUGUGGUUUUGCACUUUCUCACUUUAGUACCAUGAUAGUUUAAAGUGUAUCAAGUUAGUACCAUGUGGUUUCGACUUUCUCACUUUAGUAUCAUGUGGUUUAAAGUGUAUAAAGUUAGUACCCUAUGGUUUCAUUUUUGUAUCAAGUUAGUACGAUAUGUUUUCAUUUUUCUUUUUUCAUUAUCCAUUUCGGGAUUUUUUUUAUUAAAUUAGUGACAAAGUUAUAACUAAAUAGUACUAAAAUGAAUAUUCCAUAAACCUGGGUAGGGUAUCUGAAGUUUUUUAUAUAUAAUUUAACGAAAUAUUAAACCACAUGGUACUAAAGUGAGAAAUUGUGAAACCACAAGGUACUAACUUGAUACACUUUAAACCACAGGGUACUAAAGUAAGAAAAUGUGAAACCACAAGGUACUAACUUGAUACACUUUAAACCACAAGGUACUAAAGUGAGAAAGUGCGAAACCACAGGAGGGGUGUUUGAAGUUUUCCCUUAAAAAAGGGUACAUUACACCAAUAGUUCCGAACCUUUUCCUAAUUUUCUUUUAAUUGGGUCCAUAGCUUGUUUUCUAUCAAUUGAGUCUCCAGUUUAUAGAAAUUUUUUUCAAUUGGGUCUCUAGUGUCAACCAUCCGUUGUAAUUGACAAAAGUCGGCACGUAAGUGCUGACGUGGCAGUAAGUUG
This 901-nucleotide long non-coding RNA is filed under the name Ananas comosus (pineapple). RNAcentral's name for it is "long non-coding RNA (ACOM_LNC023383)". The record is from RNAcentral. Lineage: Eukaryota; Viridiplantae; Streptophyta; Magnoliopsida; Poales; Bromeliaceae.